RNAcentral lists this long non-coding RNA (255 nucleotides) under Mytilus galloprovincialis (Mediterranean mussel). The record is from RNAcentral. Lineage: Eukaryota; Metazoa; Mollusca; Bivalvia; Mytilida; Mytilidae.
UCCUAGAACAGACAAGGUACAGUGACAAAUAUUUCAUGUAUAUUUUGAACACGGAGAGGGUGCCCCGAGCGUAUCAUUGUCACUUUGCUUAGUUUAAUUUGUUACCUUAUCUGACAUCGGACUCGGACUUCUUUUAAGCUGAGUUUUACUAUGCGUAAUUUAUGUUGUUCUUUAUUUUACAUUGGCUAGAGGUAUAGGGAAGGGUUGAGAUCUCUCAAAACUUAUUUAACCCCAACGCAUUUUUGCGCCUGUCUC